RNAcentral lists this ribosomal RNA (1465 nucleotides) under Klebsiella oxytoca. RNAcentral describes it as "bacterial SSU rRNA". It matches the Rfam family "Bacterial small subunit ribosomal RNA". Lineage: Bacteria; Pseudomonadati; Pseudomonadota; Gammaproteobacteria; Enterobacterales; Enterobacteriaceae. The record is from RNAcentral.
UCCGACCUACACAUGCAAGUCGAACGGUAGCACAGAGAGCUUGCUCUCGGGUGACGAGUGGCGGACGGGUGAGUAAUGUCUGGGAAACUGCCCGAUGGAGGGGGAUAACUACUGGAAACGGUAGCUAAUACCGCAUAACGUCGCAAGACCAAAGAGGGGGACCUUCGGGCCUCUUGCCAUCGGAUGUGCCCAGAUGGGAUUAGCUUGUAGGUGAGGUAACGGCUCACCUAGGCGACGAUCCCUAGCUGGUCUGAGAGGAUGACCAGCCACACUGGAACUGAGACACGGUCCAGACUCCUACGGGAGGCAGCAGUGGGGAAUAUUGCACAAUGGGCGCAAGCCUGAUGCAGCCAUGCCGCGUGUAUGAAGAAGGCCUUCGGGUUGUAAAGUACUUUCAGCGGGGAGGAAGGGAGUGAGGUUAAUAACCUCAUUCAUUGACGUUACCCGCAGAAGAAGCACCGGCUAAUUCCGUGCCAGCAGCCGCGGUAAUACGGAGGGUGCAAGCGUUAAUCGGAAUUACUGGGCGUAAAGCGCACGCAGGCGGUCUGUCAAGUCGGAUGUGAAAUCCCCGGGCUCAACCUGGGAACUGCAUUCGAAACUGGCAGGCUGGAGUCUUGUAGAGGGGGGUAGAAUUCCAGGUGUAGCGGUGAAAUGCGUAGAGAUCUGGAGGAAUACCGGUGGCGAAGGCGGCCCCCUGGACAAAGACUGACGCUCAGGUGCGAAAGCGUGGGGAGCAAACAGGAUUAGAUACCCUGGUAGUCCACGCUGUAAACGAUGUCGACUUGGAGGUUGUUCCCUUGAGGAGUGGCUUCCGGAGCUAACGCGUUAAGUCGACCGCCUGGGGAGUACGGCCGCAAGGUUAAAACUCAAAUGAAUUGACGGGGGCCCGCACAAGCGGUGGAGCAUGUGGUUUAAUUCGAUGCAACGCGAAGAACCUUACCUACUCUUGACAUCCAGAGAACUUAGCAGAGAUGCUUUGGUGCCUUCGGGAACUCUGAGACAGGUGCUGCAUGGCUGUCGUCAGCUCGUGUUGUGAAAUGUUGGGUUAAGUCCCGCAACGAGCGCAACCCUUAUCCUUUGUUGCCAGCGAUUCGGUCGGGAACUCAAAGGAGACUGCCAGUGUUAACUGGAGGAAGGUGGGGAUGACGUCAAGUCAUCAUUGGCCCUUACGAGUAGGGCUACACACGUGCUACAAUGGCAUAUACAAAGAGAAGCGACCUCGCGAGAGCAAGCGGACCUCAUAAAGUAUGUCGUAGUCCGGAUUGGAGUCUGCAACUCGACUCCAUGAAGUCGGAAUCGCUAGUAAUCGUGGAUCAGAAUGCCACGGUGAAUACGUUCCCGGGCCUUGUACACACCGCCCGUCACACCAUGGGAGUGGGUUGCAAAAGAAGUAGGUAGCUUAACCUUCGGGAGGGCGCUUACCACUUUGUGAUUCAUGACUGGGGUGAAGUUCCGUAUCAAGAUA